Molecule: ribosomal RNA, 86 nt
Filed under: Hymenobacter psychrophilus
Lineage: Bacteria; Pseudomonadati; Bacteroidota; Cytophagia; Cytophagales; Hymenobacteraceae
Source: RNAcentral
CCUCUUCCCAUUCCGAACAGAGUCGUUAAGCCCCGGAGCGCCUAUGGUACUGCCUUCAUCGGUGGGAGAGUCGGUCGCCGCCAACC